RNAcentral lists this ribosomal RNA (420 nucleotides) under uncultured bacterium. Its description in RNAcentral is "bacterial SSU rRNA". It matches the Rfam family "Bacterial small subunit ribosomal RNA", at positions 355 to 774 of the family's 1533-position model. The record is from RNAcentral.
UGAGGAAUAUUGGGCAAUGCCCGAAAGGGUGACCCAGCAACGCCGCGUGGAGGAUGAAGGUCGUAAGAUUGUAAACUCCUGUUAGAGGGGAAGAAUAACUAAGUUUGGAGCUUAGUAUGACUGUACCCUCAGAGAAAGCCCCGGCUAACUACGUGCCAGCAGCCGCGGUAAUACGUAGGGGGCAAGCGUUGUCCGGAUUUACUGGGUGUAAAGGGCGCGCAGGCGGAAUGGAAAGUCAGUGGUGAAAUCCUACAGCUUAACUGUAGAACUGCCUUUGAUACUUUCAUUCUUGAGUUCGGGAGAGAGACGGAAUUCCAGGUGUAGUGGUGAAAUACGUAGAUAUCUGGAAGAACACCAGUUGCGAAGGCGGUCUCUUGGUCCGAUACUGACGCUGAGGCGCGAAAGCGUGGGGAGCAAACA